RNAcentral lists this ribosomal RNA (253 nucleotides) under uncultured bacterium. RNAcentral's name for it is "partial 16S ribosomal RNA". It matches the Rfam family "Bacterial small subunit ribosomal RNA", at positions 524 to 776 of the family's 1533-position model. The record is from RNAcentral.
UACGUAGGGUGCAAGCGUUGUCCGGAAUUAUUGGGCGUAAAGAGCUCGUAGGUGGCGGGUCACGUCGGGUGUGAAAGCCCGGGGCUUAACCCCGGGUCUGCAUUCGAUACGGGCUUGCUAGGGUCCGGCAGGGGAGACUGGAAUUCCUGGUGUAGCGGUGAAAUGCGCAGAUAUCAGGAGGAACACCGGUGGCGAAGGCGGGUCUCUGGGCCGAUACUGACGCUGAGGAGCGAAAGCGUGGGGAGCGAACAGG